GGAUAAUCGUUGGAAACGACGACUAAUACCGCAUACGAUUUUCUGAAGGCAUCUUCGGAAAAAGAAAGGAAAUAUUCGGUAAAAGAUGGGCCCGCAUCUGAUUAGCUAGUUGGUGAGAUAAUAGCCCACCAAGGCAACGAUCAGUAGCCGACCUGAGAGGGUGACCGGCCACAUUGGGACUGAGACACGGCCCAAACUCCUACGGGAGGCAGCAGUGGGGAAUAUUGCACAAUGGGCGAAAGCCUGAUGCAGCAACGCCGCGUGAAGGAAGACGGUUUUCGGAUUGUAAACUUCUAUCAAUAGGGAAGAAAGAAAUGACGGUACCUAAAUAAGAAGCCCCGGCUAACUACGUGCCAGCAGCCGCGGUAAUACGUAGGGGGCAAGCGUUAUCCGGAAUUACUGGGUGUAAAGGGAGAGUAGGCGGCAAGGUAAGCGAUAUGUGAAAGCCUUAAGCUUAACUUAAGGAUUGCAUAACGAACUAUCUAGCUAGAGUACAGGAGAGGAAAGCGGAAUUCCUAGUGUAGCGGUGAAAUGCGUAGAUAUUAGGAAGAACACCAGUGGCGAAGGCGGCUUUCUGGACUGAAACUGACGCUGAGGCUCGAAAGCGUGGGGAGCGAACAGGAUUAGAUACCCUGGUAGUCCACGCUGUAAACGAUGAGUGCUAGGUGUCGGGGAGGAACUCCCGGUGCCGGAG
RNAcentral lists this ribosomal RNA (694 nucleotides) under uncultured bacterium. Its description in RNAcentral is "bacterial SSU rRNA". It matches the Rfam family "Bacterial small subunit ribosomal RNA", at positions 141 to 851 of the family's 1533-position model. The record is from RNAcentral.